UACGUAGGGUGCGAGCGUUGUCCGGAAUUAUUGGGCGUAAAGAGCUCGUAGGCGGUUUGUCACGUCUGCUGUAAAAUCCCGAGGCUCAACCUCGGGCCUGCAGUGGGUACGGGCAGACUGGAGUGCGGUAGGGGAGAAUGGAAUUCCUGGUGUAGCGGUGGAAUGCGCAGAUAUCAGGAGGAACACCGAUGGCGAAGGCAGUUCUCUGGGCCGUAACUGACGCUGAGGAGCGAAAGCGUGGGGAGCGAACAGG
This 253-nucleotide ribosomal RNA is filed under the name uncultured bacterium. Its description in RNAcentral is "partial 16S ribosomal RNA". It matches the Rfam family "Bacterial small subunit ribosomal RNA", at positions 524 to 776 of the family's 1533-position model. The record is from RNAcentral.